This 200-nucleotide unclassified non-coding RNA is filed under the name Cladophialophora sp. RNAcentral describes it as "partial internal transcribed spacer 2". The record is from RNAcentral. Lineage: Eukaryota; Fungi; Ascomycota; Eurotiomycetes; Chaetothyriales; Herpotrichiellaceae.
UUAAGUUCAGCGCGUAUUCCUACCUGAUCCGAGGUCAACCAUAGAAAGUUUCCUUUUUGUGAAAGGAGAGGACCGGGUCCCGGGUGCCCUUGUCCGAUACGUGCUCGGUGAAAAGCUCAGUGUACCGGGGGAACUACAGGCCGCCGUCAUUGUCUUUAGGAGGGGUCGAUCGCUCGACCGGCCGUCCAACACCAAGCACA